UUCAGAUUUAUUUGGAGAAAACAAAAAACUACAACCCAAAGGAUGGGAUUUUACAUCUCAAGACAUCUCACAGAAUGUCUCUCUGGCUUCCUCUCCCUCUCAGAGACCCAAAUUGGAACUGAAACCCUGAGUACAGCAAAACUGCAUUUCCCAAGCUCCUCGUCUCUCAAUGGGUCACAUGACUUGUUCUAGCCAAUAGAACAAGGGUGGAAGUAAUGCAACCACUUUCAGCUGGCCCCUAAAGUCUCCUGUGAGAUCUUCCAAUCUUGCUCUCCUCUCUCUGCAUGGCUGGAAGUGCAUACUCUGAUAUCUGAAACCACAUGAUGAAGGAGCCAGGACGCCUAAGUUCACCACUU
RNAcentral lists this long non-coding RNA (356 nucleotides) under Pongo abelii (Sumatran orangutan). RNAcentral describes it as "lincRNA". The record is from RNAcentral. Lineage: Eukaryota; Metazoa; Chordata; Mammalia; Primates; Hominidae.